RNAcentral lists this ribosomal RNA (116 nucleotides) under Pseudomonas sp. SWI44. Lineage: Bacteria; Pseudomonadati; Pseudomonadota; Gammaproteobacteria; Pseudomonadales; Pseudomonadaceae. The record is from RNAcentral.
CUUGACGACCAUAGAGCAUUGGAACCACCUGAUCCCAUCCCGAACUCAGCAGUGAAACGAUGCAUCGCCGAUGGUAGUGUGGGGUUUCCCCAUGUGAGAGUAGGUCAUCGUUAAGA